Molecule: long non-coding RNA, 6947 nt
Filed under: Sorghum bicolor (sorghum)
Lineage: Eukaryota; Viridiplantae; Streptophyta; Magnoliopsida; Poales; Poaceae
Description: long non-coding RNA (SBIC_LNC015499)
Source: RNAcentral
CGUGUACGGCCCGCCCAUAGCUCCUUCGACGGCGCCGCCUAGGAACGCGGAGAAAAUAUGACAAAGGAACGGCCAAAAAUAAAAAGAAAGACCUUUCUUUUGAAAAAACAAACAAAAAAAAAGGAAUGCAACACGAGGACUUCCCAGGAGGUCACCCAUCCUAGUACUACUCUCGCCCAAGCACGCUUAACUUCGGAGUUCUGAUGGGAUCCGGUGCUUUAGUGCUGGUAUGAUCGCAUCCGACAUACCGUGCGUUCUCCUCCCCUUUAUGCCCGCGCCUCCGUGUACGGCCCGCCCAUAGCUCCUUCGACGGCGCCGCCUAGGAACGCGGAGAAAAUAUGACAAAGGAACGGCCAAAAAUAAAAAGAAAGACCUUUCUUUUGAAAAAACAAACAAAAAAAAGGAAUGCAACACGAGGACUUCCCAGGAGGUCACCCAUCCUAGUACUACUCUCGCCCAAGCACGCUUAACUUCGGAGUUCUGAUGGGAUCCGGUGCUUUAGUGCUGGUAUGAUCGCAUCCGACAUACCGUGCGUUCUCCUCCCCUUUAUGCCCGCGCCUCCGUGUACGGCCCGCCCAUAGCUCCUUCGACGGCGCCGCCUAGGAACGCGGAGAAAAUAUGACAAAGGAACGGCCAAAAAUAAAAAGAAAGACCUUUCUUUUGAAAAAACAAACAAAAAAAAGGAAUGCAACACGAGGACUUCCCAGGAGGUCACCCAUCCUAGUACUACUCUCGCCCAAGCACGCUUAACUUCGGAGUUCUGAUGGGAUCCGGUGCUCUAGUGCUGGUAUGAUCGCAUCCGACAUACCGUGCGUUCUCCUCCCCUUUAUGCCCGCGCCUCCGUGUACGGCCCGCCCAUAGCUCCUUCGACGGCGCCGCCUAGGAACGCGGAGAAAAUAUGACAAAGGAACGGCCAAAAAUAAAAAGAAAGACCUUUCUUUUGAAAAAACAAACAAAAAAAAAGGAAUGCAACACGAGGACUUCCCAGGAGGUCACCCAUCCUAGUACUACUCUCGCCCAAGCACGCUUAACUUCGGAGUUCUGAUGGGAUCCGGUGCUUUAGUGCUGGUAUGAUCGCAUCCGACAUACCGUGCGUUCUCCUCCCCUUUAUGCCCGCGCCUCCGUGUACGGCCCGCCCAUAGCUCCUUCGACGGCGCCGCCUAGGAACGCGGAGAAAAUAUGACAAAGGAACGGCCAAAAAUAAAAAGAAAGACCUUUCUUUUGAAAAAACAAACAAAUAAAAGGAAUGCAACACGAGGACUUCCUAGGAGGUCACCCAUCCUAGUACUACUCUCGCCCAAGCACGCUUAACUUCGGAGUUCUAAUGGGAUCCGGUGCUUUAGUGCUGGUAUGAUCGCAUCCGACAUACCGUGCGUUCUCCUCCCCUUUAUGCCCGCGCCUCCGUGUACGGCCCGCCCAUAGCUCCUUCGACGGCGCCGCCUAGGAACGCGGAGAAAAUAUGACAAAGGAACGGCCAAAAAUAAAAAGAAAGACCUUUCUUUUGAAAAAACAAACAAAAAAAAGGAAUGCAACACGAGGACUUCCCAGGAGGUCACCCAUCCUAGUACUACUCUCGCCCAAGCACGCUUAACUUCGGAGUUCUGAUGGGAUCCGGUGCUUUAGUGCUGGUAUGAUCGCAUCCGACAUACCGUGCGUUCUCCUCCCCUUUAUGCCCGCGCCUCCGUGUACGGCCCGCCCAUAGCUCCUUCGACGGCGCCGCCUAGGAACGCGGAGAAAAUAUGACAAAGGAACGGCCAAAAAUAAAAAGAAAGACCUUUCUUUUGAAAAAACAAACAAAAAAAAGGAAUGCAACACGAGGACUUCCCAGGAGGUCACCCAUCCUAGUACUACUCUCGCCCAAGCACGCUUAACUUCGGAGUUCUGAUGGGAUCCGGUGCUUUAGUGCUGGUAUGAUCGCAUCCGACAUACCGUGCGUUCUCCUCCCCUUUAUGCCCGCGCCUCCGUGUACGGCCCGCCCAUAGCUCCUUCGACGGCGCCGCCUAGGAACGCGGAGAAAAUAUGACAAAGGAACGGCCAAAAAUAAAAAGAAAGACCUUUCUUUUGAAAAAACAAACAAAAAAAAGGAAUGCAACACGAGGACUUCCCAGGAGGUCACCCAUCCUAGUACUACUCUCGCCCAAGCACGCUUAACUUCGGAGUUCUGAUGGGAUCCGGUGCUUUAGUGCUGGUAUGAUCGAAUCCGACAUACCGUGCGUUCUCCUCCCCUUUAUGCCCGCGCCUCCGUGUACGGUCCGCCCAUAGCUCCUUCGACGGCGCCGCCUAGGAACGCGGAGAAAAUAUGACAAAGGAACGGCCAAAAAUAAAAAGAAAGACCUUUCUUUUGAAAAAACAAACAAAUAAAAGGAAUGCAACACGAGGACUUCCCAGGAGGUCACCCAUCCUAGUACUACUCUCGCCCAAGCACGCUUAACUUCGGAGUUCUGAUGGGAUCCGGUGCUUUAGUGCUGGUAUGAUCGCAUCCGACAUACCGUGCGUUCUCCUCCCCUUUAUGCCCGCGCCUCCGUGUACGGCCCGCCCAUAGCUCCUUCGACGGCGCCGCCUAGGAACGCGGAGAAAAUAUGACAAAGGAACGGCCAAAAAUAAAAAGAAAGACCUUUCUUUUGAAAAAACAAACAAAUAAAAGGAAUGCAACACGAGGACUUCCCAGGAGGUCACCCAUCCUAGUACUACUCUCGCCCAAGCACGCUUAACUUCGGAGUUCUGAUGGGAUCCGGUGCUUUAGUGCUGGUAUGAUCGCAUCCGACAUACCGUGCGUUCUCCUCCCCUUUAUGCCCGCGCCUCCGUGUACGGCCCGCCCAUAGCUCCUUCGACGGCGCCGCCUAGGAACGCGGAGAAAAUAUGACAAAGGAACGGCCAAAAAUAAAAAGAAAGACCUUUCUUUUGAAAAAACAAACAAAAAAAAGGAAUGCAGCACCAGGACUUCCCGGAAGGUCACCCAUCCAAAUACAACUCUCGCCGAACCACGUUUAACUUCGAAUUUCUAAUGGAAUCCGGGGCUUUAGAGCUGGAAUGAUCGCAUCCGACAUACCGUGCGUUCUCCUCCCCUUUAUGCCCGCGCCUCCGUGUACGGCCCGCCCAUAGCUCCUUCGACGGCGCCGCCUAGGAACGCGGAGAAAAUAUGACAAAGGAGCGGCCAAAAAUAAAAAGAAAGACCUUUCUUUUGAAAAAACAAACAAAUAAAAGGAAUGCAACACGAGGACUUCCUAGGAGGUCACCCAUCCUAGUACUACUCUCGCCCAAGCACGCUUAACUUCGGAGUUCUGAUGGGAUCCGGUGCUUUAGUGCUGGUAUGAUCGCAUCCGACAUACCGUGCGUUCUCCUCCCCUUUAUGCCCGCGCCUCCGUGUACGGCCCGCCCAUAGCUCCUUCGACGGCGCCGCCUAGGAACGCGGAGAAAAUAUGACAAAGGAACGGCCAAAAAUAAAAAGAAAGACCUUUCUUUUGAAAAAACAAACGCCUCCGUGUACGGCCCGCCCAUAGCUCCUUCGACGGCGCCGCCUAGGAACGCGGAGAAAAUAUGACAAAGGAACGGCCAAAAAUAAAAAGAAAGACCUUUCUUUUGAAAAAACAAACAAAAAAAAGGAAUGCAACACGAGGACUUCCCAGGAGGUCACCCAUCCUAGUACUACUCUCGCCCAAGCACGCUUAACUUCGGAGUUCUGAUGGGAUCCGGUGCUUUAGUGCUGGUAUGAUCGCAUCCGACAUACCGUGCGUUCUCCUCCCCUUUAUGCCCGCGCCUCCGUGUACGGCCCGCCCAUAGCUCCUUCGACGGCGCCGCCUAGGAACGCGGAGAAAAUAUGACAAAGGAACGGCCAAAAAUAAAAAGAAAGACCUUUCUUUUGAAAAAACAAACAAAUAAAAGGAAUGCAACACGAGGACUUCCCAGGAGGUCACCCAUCCUAGUACUACUCUCGCCCAAGCACGCUUAACUUCGGAGUUCUGAUGGGAUCCGGUGCUUUAGUGCUGGUAUGAUCGCAUUCGACAUACCGAUGCGUUCUCAUCCCCGUUAUGCGCCGCGCCUCUGUGUACGGCCCGCCCAUAGCUCCUUUGACUGCGCCUCGUAGGAUCGCGGAGAAUAUAUGACAAAGGCACGGCCAAACAUAAAACGAAAGACCUCUCUUUUGCAACAACAAACAAAAUAAAGGAAUGCAACACGAGGACUUCCCAGGAGGUCACCCAUCCUAGUACUAGUCUCGCUCAAGCACGCUGAUCUUCGGAGUUCUGAUGGGAUCCGGUGCUUUAGUGCUGGUAUGAUCGCAUCCGACAUACCGUGCGUUCUCCUCCCCUUUAUGCCCGCGCCUCCGUGUACGGCCCGCCCAUAGCUCCUUCGACGGCGCCGCCUAGGAACGCGGAGAAAAUAUGACAAAGGAACGGCCAAAAAUAAAAAGAAAGACCUUUCUUUUGAAAAAACAAACAAAAAAAAGGAAUGCAACACGAGGACUUCCCAGGAGGUCACCCAUCCUAGUACUACUCUCGCCCAAGCACGCUUAACUUCGGAGUUCUGAUGGGAUCCGGUGCUUUAGUGCUGGUAUGAUCGCAUCCGACAUACCGUGCGUUCUCCUCCCCUUUAUGCCCGCGCCUCCGUGUACGGCCCGCCCAUAGCUCCUUCGACGGCGCCGCCUAGGAACGCGGAGAAAAUAUGACAAAGGAACGGCCAAAAAUAAAAAGAAAGACCUUUCUUUUGAAAAAACAAACAAAUAAAAGGAAUGCAACACGAGGACUUCCCAGGAGGUCACCCAUCCUAGUACUACUCUCGCCCAAGCACGCUUAACUUCGGAGUUCUGAUGGGAUCCGGUGCUUUAGUGCUGGUAUGAUCGCAUCCGACAUACCGUGCGUUCUCCUCCCCUUUAUGCCCGCGCCUCCGUGUACGGCCCGCCCAUAGCUCCUUCGACGAGCCCGCCUAGGAACGCGGAGAAAAUAUGACAAAGGAACGGCCAAAAAUAAAAAGAAAGACCUUUCUUUUGAAAAAACAAACAAAUAAAAGGAAUGCAACACGAGGACUUCCCAGGAGGUCACCCAUCCUAGUACUACUCUCGCCCAAGCACGCUUAACUUCGGAGUUCUGAUGGGAUCCGGUGCUUUAGUGCUGGUAUGAUCGCAUCCGACAUACCGUGCGUUCUCCUCCCCUUUAUGCCCGCGCCUCCGUGUACGGCCCGCCCAUAGCUCCUUCGACGGCGCCGCCUAGGAACGCGGAGAAAAUAUGACAAAGGAACGGCCAAAAAUAAAAAGAAAGACCUUUCUUUUGAAAAAACAAACAAAAAAAAGGAAUGCAACACGAGGACUUCCCAGGAGGUCACCCAUCCUAGUACUACUCUCGCCCAAGCACGCUUAACUUCGGAGUUCUGAUGGGAUCCGGUGCUUUAGUGCUGGUAUGAUCGCAUCCGACAUACCGUGCGUUCUCCUCCCCUUUAUGCCCGCGCCUCCGUGUACGGCCCGCCCAUAGCUCCUUCGACGGCGCCGCCUAGGAACGCGGAGAAAAUAUGACAAAGGAACGGCCAAAAAUAAAAAGAAAGACCUUUCUUUUGAAAAAACAAACAAAUAAAAGGAAUGCAACACGAGGACUUCCCAGGAGGUCACCCAUCCUAGUACUACUCUCGCCCAAGCACGCUUAACUUCGGAGUUCUGAUGGGAUCCGGUGCUUUAGUGCUGGUAUGAUCGCAUCCGACAUACCGUGCGUUCUCCUCCCCUUUAUGCCCGCGCCUCCGUGUACGGCCCGCCCAUAGCUCCUUCGACGGCGCCGCCUAGGAACGCGGAGAAAAUAUGACAAAGGAACGGCCAAAAAUAAAAAGAAAGACCUUUCUUUUGAAAAAACAAACAAAUAAAAGGAAUGCAACACGAGGACUUCCCAGGAGGUCACCCAUCCUAGUACUACUCUCGCCCAAGCACGCUUAACUUCGGAGUUCUGAUGGGAUCCGGUGCUUUAGUGCUGGUAUGAUCGCAUCCGACAUACCGUGCGUUCUCCUCCCCUUUAUGCCCGCGCCUCCGUGUACGGUCCGCCCAUAGCUCUUUAGUUGGCGCCUCCUAGGAACGCGGAGAAAAUAUGACAAAGGAACGGCCAAAAAUAAAAAGAAAGACCUUUCUUUUGAAAAAACAAACGCCUCCGUGUACGGCCCGCCCAUAGCUCCUUCGACGGCGCCGCCUAGGAACGCGGAGAAAAUAUGACAAAGGAACGGCCAAAAAUAAAAAGAAAGACCUUUCUUUUGAAAAAACAAACAAAAAAAAGGAAUGCAACACGAGGACUUCCCAGGAGGUCACCCAUCCUAGUACUACUCUCGCCCAAGCACGCUUAACUUCGGAGUUCUGAUGGGAUCCGGUGCUUUAGUGCUGGUAUGAUCGCAUCCGACAUACCGUGCGUUCUCCUCCCCUUUAUGCCCGCGCCUCCGUGUACGGCCCGCCCAUAGCUCCUUCGACGGCGCCGCCUAGGAACGCGGAGAAAAUAUGACAAAGGAACGGCCAAAAAUAAAAAGAAAGACCUUUCUUUUGAAAAAACAAACAAAUAAAAGGAAUGCAACACGAGGAGUUCCCAGGAGGUCACCCAUCCUAGUACUACUCUCGCCCAAGCACGCUUAACUUCGGAGUUCUGAUGGGAUCCGGUGCUUUAGUGCUGGUAUGAUCGCAUCCGACAUACCGUGCGUUCUCCUCCCCUUUAUGCCCGCGCCUCCGUGUACGGCCCGCCCAUAGCUCCUUCGAUGGCGCCGCCUAGGAACGCGGAGAAAAUAUGACAAAGGAACGGCCAAAAAUAAAAAGAAAGACCUUUCUUUUGAAAAAACAAACGCCUCCGUGUACGGCCCGCCCAUAGCUCCUUCGACGGCGCCGCCUAGGAACGCGGAGAAAAUAUGACAAAGGAACGGCCAAAAAUAAAAAGAAAGACCUUUCUUUUGAAAAAACAAACAAAAAAAAGGAAUGCAACACGAGGACUUCCCAGGAG